This 422-nucleotide ribosomal RNA is filed under the name uncultured bacterium. RNAcentral's name for it is "partial 16S ribosomal RNA". It matches the Rfam family "Bacterial small subunit ribosomal RNA", at positions 362 to 776 of the family's 1533-position model. The record is from RNAcentral.
UAUUGGACGAUGGGCGAAAGCCUGAUCCGGCCAUGCCACGAGUGUGAAGAAGGCUNUCNNAUAGUNANUCACCUUAAGUUGGGNNNNNGGGCAGUUAGUUAAUACGUUGCUGUUCUGUCGUUACCGACAUUAUAAGCACCGGCUAACUUCGUGCCAGCAUCCGCUGUAAUACGAAGGUUUCAAGCGUUAAUCGGUAUUACUUGUCGUAAAUCGCGCGUAGGUGGUUUGUUAAGUUGGAAGUGUAAGCCCCGGACUCAACCUGGAAACUGCUAUCAAAACUGGCAAGAUAGAGUAUGGCAGAGGGUGGUGGAAUUUCCUGUGUAGCGGUGAAAUGCGUAGAUAUAGGAAGGAACACCAGUGGCGAAGGCGACCACCUGGGCUAAUACUGCCACUGAGGUGCGAAAGCGUGGGGAGCAAACAGG